This 1325-nucleotide ribosomal RNA is filed under the name metagenome. RNAcentral describes it as "bacterial SSU rRNA". It matches the Rfam family "Archaeal small subunit ribosomal RNA". The record is from RNAcentral.
UAAGGACCGGCAUAACUUCGGGAAACUGAGGGUAAAACCGGAUAGAGUAAAGCCACUGGAAGGUGCUUUACUUCAAAUCAUAUGGCCUUAGGAUGGGCCUGCGGCAGAUUAGCCUGUUGGUAGGGUAAUGGCCUACCAAAGCUAUAAUCUGUACGGGCGAUGGGAGUCGUAGCCCGGAGAGGGGAACUGAGACAAGGUCCCCAGCCCUACGGGGUGCAGCAGUUACGAAACCUCUACAAUGCGCGAAAGCGUGAUAGGGGAACUCCAAGUGAUUGCUCUUUGAGUAAUCUUUUGCCAAGUGUAAAUAACUUGGCGAAUAAGGACUGGGCAAGACCCGUGCCAGCCGCCGCGGUAAUACGGACAGUCCUAGUGGAAUCCACGAAUAUUGGGCUUAAAGCGUUCGUAGCUGGUUAGGUAAGUCUUUUGUGAAAUCCCAUGGCCUAACUGUGGGAAGUGCAGAAGAUACUGCCUGACUUGGAGACGGGAGAGGUCAGAGGUACUUAUGGUGUAGCGGUUAAAUGCUGUAAUCCCAUAAGGACCAUCGGUAGCGAAGGCGUCUGACUGGAACGUGCUCGACAGUGAGGGACGAAGGCCAGGGGAGCGACAGGGAUUAGAUACCCCUUUAGUCCUGGCUGUAAAGGAUGCAGACUAGGUGUCGUGCAACCCUAGAGGUUGUGCGGUGCCGAAGGGAAACCAAUAAGUCUGCCGCCUGGGGAGUACGAUCGCAAGAUUGAAACUUAAAGGAAUUGGCGGGGGCGCACACCAGGGGUGGAGGCUGCGGUUUAAUUGGAUAAAACGCCGGACAUCUCACCGGGAUCGACGGUAGAAUGAAGGUCAGUCUAAAGGGCUUACCAGACAAGCCGAGAAGUGGUGCAUGGCCAUCGUCAGCUCGUGCUGUGAAGUGUCCUCUCAAGUGAGGUAACGAGCGAGACCCAUGCCAUUAGUUACUAAGUGUAUCAUUACGAUGCACAGGACUCUAAUGGGACUGCCAGUGCUAAACUGGAGGAAGGAGUGGGCAACGGUAGGUCAGUAUGCCCUGAAUUUCCCGGGCUACACGCGGCCUACAUUGGUAGGCACAACGGGAUGCAACUCCGAAAGGAGAAGCUAAUCCCUCAAAACCUGCCCAAGUGUGGAUUGAGGGCUGCAACUCGCCCUCAUGAAAAUGGAAUCCCCAGUAAUCGCGGAUCACUAUUCCGCGGUGAAUUUGUCCCUGCGCCUUGCACACACCGCCUGCCAAGCCAAUCAAGUGGGGCUUUGGUGAGGCCUGGUCCUUAGGGCUGGGUCGAGCCUAGGCUUCGUGAGUCGGGCUAAGGCAUAACAAGGUA